Molecule: ribosomal RNA, 253 nt
Filed under: uncultured bacterium
Lineage: Bacteria
Description: partial 16S ribosomal RNA
Rfam family: Bacterial small subunit ribosomal RNA
Source: RNAcentral
UACAGAGGGGGCAAGCGUUGUUCGGAAUUACUGGGCGUAAAGGGCGCGUAGGCGGCCUGCUAAGUCGAACGUGAAAUCCCUGGGCUCAACCCAGGAACUGCGUCCGAUACUGGUUGGCUUGAAUCCGGGAGAGGGAUGUGGAAUUCCAGGUGUAGCGGUGAAAUGCGUAGAUAUCUGGAGGAACACCGGUGGCGGAGGCGACAUCCUGGACCGGUAUUGACGCUGAGGCGCGAAAGCCAGGGGGGCAAACGGG